GACGAACGCUGGCGGCGUGCUUAACACAUGCAAGUCGAACGGAAAGGCCCUGCUUGUGUGGGGUGCUCGAGUGGCGAACGGGUGAGUAACACGUGAGUAACCUGCCCUUGACUUUGGGAUAACUUCAGGAAACUGGGGCUAAUACCGGAUAGGAGCUCCUGCUGCAUUGUGGGGGUGGGAAAGUUUGGGCGGUUGGGGUUGGACGCGCGGCUUAUCACCUUGUUGGUGGGCAGUGGCUUACCACGGCUUUGCCGGGUUCCCGGCCUGGGAGGGGGGCCGGCCACCUUGGUACUGAGAUACGGCCCAGACUCCUACGGGAGGCAGCAGUGGGGAAUAUUGCACAAUGGGCGGAAGCCUGAUGCAGCAACGCCGCGUGCGGGAUGACGGCCUUCGGGUUGUAAACCGCUUUCGCCUGUGACGAAGCGUGAGUGACGGUAAUGGGUAAAGAAGCACCGGCUAACUACGUG
This 467-nucleotide ribosomal RNA is filed under the name uncultured bacterium. Its description in RNAcentral is "partial 16S ribosomal RNA". It matches the Rfam family "Bacterial small subunit ribosomal RNA", at positions 28 to 507 of the family's 1533-position model. The record is from RNAcentral.